UUGCGGACAGUGCCUGGUGGGUAGUUUGACUGGGGCGGUCUCCUCCCAAAGAGUAACGGAGGAGCACGAAGGUGGGCUAAUCACGGUCGGACAUCGUGAGGUUAGUGCAAUGGCAUAAGCCCGCUUGACUGCGAGAAUGACAAUUCGAGCAGGUGCGAAAGCAGGUCAUAGUGAUCCGGUGGUUCUGAAUGGAAGGGCCAUCGCUCAACGGAUAAAAGGUACUCCGGGGAUAACAGGCUGAUACCGCCCAAGAGUUCAUAUCGACGGCGGUGUUUGGCACCUCGAUGUCGGCUCAUCACAUCCUGGGGCUGAAGUCGGUCCCAAGGGUAUGGCUGUUCGCCAUUUAAAGUGGUACGCGAGCUGGGUUUAGAACGUCGUGAGACAGUUCGGUCCCUAUCUGCCGUGGGCGUUGGAUGAUUGAGAGGGGCUGCUCCUAGUACGAGAGGACCGGAGUGGACGAACCUCUGGUGUUCGGGUUGUCACGCCAGUGGCAUUGCCCGGUAGCUAAGUUCGGAAUCGAUAAGCGCUGAAAGCAUCUAAGCGCGAAGCGAGCCUCAAGAUGAGUCAUCCCUAGACCUUUAAGGUCUCUAAAGGGUUGUUGAAGACUACGACGUAGAUAGGUCAGGUGUGUAAGCGCUGCGAGGCGUUGAGCUAACUGAUACUAAUUGCCCGUGAGGCUUAACCAU
RNAcentral lists this ribosomal RNA (686 nucleotides) under Enterovibrio gelatinilyticus. RNAcentral describes it as "partial 23S ribosomal RNA". It matches the Rfam family "Bacterial large subunit ribosomal RNA", at positions 2245 to 2925 of the family's 2925-position model. The record is from RNAcentral. Lineage: Bacteria; Pseudomonadati; Pseudomonadota; Gammaproteobacteria; Vibrionales; Vibrionaceae.